AACUGCUGACAAUGGAUCUCUGGGCUCUUGCGCCGAUGAAGAACGCAGCAAAACGCGAAAUGUGUUAUGAUGUGCAGUCUUUGUGAAUCAUGAAUAUUUGAACGCACCUUGCACCUGGCGUAGCAAUACGGGAGGUAUGCCUGUUUGAGCGAUGUG
RNAcentral lists this ribosomal RNA (156 nucleotides) under uncultured fungus. RNAcentral describes it as "5.8S ribosomal RNA". It matches the Rfam family "5.8S ribosomal RNA". Rfam says of the family: 5.8S ribosomal RNA (5.8S rRNA) is a component of the large subunit of the eukaryotic ribosome. It is transcribed by RNA polymerase I as part of the 45S precursor that also contains 18S and 28S rRNA. The record is from RNAcentral. Lineage: Eukaryota; Fungi.